Molecule: unclassified non-coding RNA, 350 nt
Filed under: Hevea brasiliensis (rubber tree)
Lineage: Eukaryota; Viridiplantae; Streptophyta; Magnoliopsida; Malpighiales; Euphorbiaceae
Source: RNAcentral
CUCUGACGAAGAUGAGGUAGCCCCAAAGCCGAAGAAUCAAUCUCAACUCAAUAAAACGAGGCACUCAAUUCCACCAAUAGGAGUUCAAGGUACCCUGCAAUUCGAGGACGAAGCCUAUCAGACAAGGUGAUGGUGAAUGAUUGCAAAAGUGGAGAUUUUGGAUGCUUUUUAUGAAUAUUUGAACUGUUGACUAGAAUUUCGCAUGUUAUGGACCAAUUUGUAGAAUUUGUCCAUUAAGCCGUGCCCACAGCUUAAGUUCACGUGGAUACAAAGCAGAGACAGAGUCAAAUGCAUGACUGAAGAUUCUAUUUUGAUCGACUUUAGGCCCCAUUUUGGAAAUAUUAUAUUUU